RNAcentral lists this long non-coding RNA (737 nucleotides) under Rattus norvegicus (Norway rat). RNAcentral describes it as "long non-coding RNA NONRATT000254". Lineage: Eukaryota; Metazoa; Chordata; Mammalia; Rodentia; Muridae. The record is from RNAcentral.
CCUGGGUCUUAAUGCCUUCUUUCUCUCCACAGCCCAGGACUGCAUCCCUCCUUGUGUUCAGGACAUGUUGGUGAACCGAGGGGACCAGGCUUUGUUUUCUUGCAUCGUGGCUUUCCAGUUGCCAGAGUCGGAGGUCACUUAUUCCUGGAAAUAUGCGGGAGGAGGUGUGAGUCCAGAAACAGCCAGCUGGAGGGCUUGGGAAGGAUGAUGAGGUUCAGUUCAGUGUACUGAUUCGGUUUAGUGCAAGGAGGGUUGGGAACCUAGGGAGAGAUGGAUGCUAAAUAUGUGGAAGUUCCAUGCCCAGAUGUGCAUUAUGAGUCAGGGUUUGGGGAAUGCCCUGAAGGGUUGCACAGUGCAGGCAAAAGAGCCAGAGACUUGCGAGUUGAGUCAGUGCUUUGGGAGAGGGUAUGCAUUAGAGCUGGGCAAGGCUUUCCGUUAGGGUACAUUUGAGCUCCUCAGCCUUGUGGUCCCGCAGGUCCGGACUCAGGACGUUUCCUACUUCCGUGAUUUGCCGGGGUCUCACGGGUACCUGGCACGAAUCCGGCCAGUGCAACCCAGGCACAGUGGAACCUUUUCCUGCGUGAUCCUGCACGACCAGCGCCCCCUGGCGCGGCUCUACUUCUAUCUGAACGGUACGGGCGGGGCGAGGAUAUGAGGUAGAGCCAAGGGCGGAGCUCUGCCCUCUAACGUGUACGCUCUGGCAGUGACGGGGCCUCCUCCGCCUGAGGAGACUGAGC